RNAcentral lists this ribosomal RNA (253 nucleotides) under uncultured bacterium. Its description in RNAcentral is "partial 16S ribosomal RNA". It matches the Rfam family "Bacterial small subunit ribosomal RNA", at positions 524 to 776 of the family's 1533-position model. The record is from RNAcentral.
UACGAGGGGGGCAAAUGUUGUUCGGAAUCACUGGGCUUAAAGGGCGCGUAGGCGGGCGAGCGAGUCCGGGGUGAAAUCUUUCGGCUUAACCGGAAAAGGGCCUCGGAUACCGGUCGUCUGGAGGGAGGUAGGGGCAGCUGGAACUUCCGGUGGAGCGGUGAAAUGCGUUGAUAUCGGAAGGAACGCCGGUGGCGAAAGCGGCUACCUGGACAGAUACUGACGCUGAGGCGCGAGAGCGUGGGGAGCAAACAGG